CAGAAGCUCUGGACCUGCCUACAGCCCUGUCAAUCACUCAUGGUGUCCAUGACAUGUCCAUGAACACUGCAGGACUGGUAUGUGUCCAGGAGGCAGGGGGACCCCCUAGUGGCCACUUUUUUGACUGACUUUUUCCGUAUGAAAUACAAAAAUUUUUUGAUGAAAGCAAUUGCAGAACAUAUUGUUUUUGCAUGCUUUAUAACAUAUUAAAAGUUAUUGUAUCCGAUAGUGCCCAUUUAAGGAACCAAUGUUGUUGCAAGGUGCUCUAAUACUACUAAGUCAAGCAUGUUUAUUGAUACCAUCCCACAUUGUAUGUCAUGAAAUUGUAUUCCCAUACUUGCCUAUCUGCUAUUAUGUUUGCAGUUAGUAUGUGCUGCAUGUAUAUUAAUAUGCUAGUCACUUGUCACGUCAGUCUCCUGCAUAUACAUAGCUGUGGUGCCUACUCUUUGCGAUGCAGAAUACUAACAACCGCCAUAUGUCCUCCACCUCCUUAUAAGAAAACAAAAAUUGUUUACGUGCAUAGACACCUUGUUUAUACAUGUGUCUUUAGAUUCUCACGAGCCCACUGGAUUAACAGGGGGUUCAAUGAUUUUAUUAAGUUUCCUUUAAGAUUACAGGCUCCCCUGGUGUCUCCAGUCCAGCCAGAAAUACAGCUUGAAGAUCUAUACUCCCCCUGGAAGCCCCAGUGUAUGGAACGUGCAGAACAGAACAGGACGCACUCAAACAAGACGAAUGGGAACAGACUGCGAUGGUUUCAUUUACAGAAAAAAUGACUCCUUACCCCAGAAAAAAGCUUGAAAGUCAUGGCCACUAGAUGUCUUGGUUCUCGAUCUGCUGUCCACCGCCUGUUGUUAGGGGAAUUUCAUCUCUAGAAGCUGAGAGACCAAGAAGGAAUACAGAAAGUGGUAGAAAGAGCCUGGGCUGAGUGCAUACAACCUGAAUCUGUCAGCCUUCUCCAGAGCAUCCAUGUUGUGCCUGAAAGGCUACAAUGAAGCGAUGUCCGGAAUGCCCGAAAAGGAGCGUACGUCACCUUAAUUCACAGCAUGUACAUCAAUAGUCCAAAUGAAGAAGAGCACAGUAACCCUCUCCCCGGCUGAUAACAGGGAGCAGUAGAUUGUAUUUACAGGUACAGCCAAUGGAGUAAAGAGGCUAAAGUAGUGUUUCCC
Long non-coding RNA from Hyla sarda, 1166 nucleotides. RefSeq lists it as uncharacterized. The record is from RefSeq and is a predicted model, not a curated record. The transcript is spliced from 3 exons. NCBI's taxonomy places the organism in Eukaryota, Metazoa, Chordata, Amphibia, Anura, Hylidae.